UACGUAGGUGGCAAGCGUUGUCCGGAUUUACUGGGCGUAAAGAGCGCGCAGGCGGUCGUUCAAGUCGCGUGUGAAAGCCCCCGGCUCAACUGGGGAGGGUCACGCGAUACUGAUCGACUCGAAGGCGGGAGAGGGUAGUGGAAUUCCCGGUGUAGUGGUGAAAUGCGUAGAUAUCGGGAGGAACACCAGUGGCGAAGGCGACUACCUGGCCUGUUCUUGACGCUGAGGCGCGAAAGCUAGGGGAGCAAACGGG
Molecule: ribosomal RNA, 253 nt
Filed under: uncultured bacterium
Lineage: Bacteria
Description: partial 16S ribosomal RNA
Rfam family: Bacterial small subunit ribosomal RNA
Source: RNAcentral